This 518-nucleotide ribosomal RNA is filed under the name Moesziomyces rugulosus. RNAcentral's name for it is "eukaryotic LSU rRNA". It matches the Rfam family "Eukaryotic large subunit ribosomal RNA", at positions 196 to 664 of the family's 3401-position model. The record is from RNAcentral. Lineage: Eukaryota; Fungi; Basidiomycota; Ustilaginomycetes; Ustilaginales; Ustilaginaceae.
AAGGGCAUCAUAGAGGGUGAUAAUCCCGUACAUGGCAUGGCAGUCGCCCGAAUCUUUGUGAUACGCUUUCUAAGAGUCGAGUUGUUUGGGAAUGCAGCUCAAAAUGGGUGGUAAAUGCCAUCUAAGGCUAAAUAUUGGGGAGAGACCGAUAGCGAACAAGUACAGUGAUGGAAAGAUGAAAAGAACUUUGAAAAGAGAGUUAAACAGUACGUGAAAUUGCCAAAAGGGAAGGGUAGGAGGUCAGAGAUGCGGCCUGGGAUUCAGCCUUGCUUUUGCUUGGUGUUUUUCCCAGAUUGCAGGCCAACGUCGGUUUUGGGCACUGGAGAAGGGUAGGAGGAACGUGGCACCUCUCGGGGUGUGUUAUAGCCUCCUACUGGAUACAGCGACCGAGACCGAGGACAGCAGCGUACUCGCAAGAGCGGGCCUUCGGGCACCUUUACGCUUAGGGCGUUGGCAUAAUGGCCCUCUACCACCCGUCUUGAAACACGGACCAAAACACGGUCUGUGUUUCCGGACGG